Poecilia latipinna (sailfin molly) is the source of this 548-nucleotide long non-coding RNA. RefSeq lists it as uncharacterized. The transcript is spliced from 3 exons. The record is from RefSeq and is a predicted model, not a curated record. NCBI's taxonomy places the organism in Eukaryota, Metazoa, Chordata, Actinopteri, Cyprinodontiformes, Poeciliidae.
UGCUUUACUUACCUUUACAACACUGUUUGAAGCAUUGCUUUAAGCUAAGAAACUGGAAAAUCAGGCUUGUUGGGUUUAUUUGAAUCAAUAAGUUUAAAUGGUGGUGUUAAAAAAAACAAAACAAAAAAAAACUAGUUUGACAAGAGUGUACCAACUAUCACGAGAUGAAAGGGAACAUUAAAUGAGAACAGGAAGGAUUUCAUUUUACAAAGUCAUAAAGAGAGAUCUUUAUAAUCCCAGUAAUCAAGGGGUAACGAUGACAAAGCAAACAGAAAGUCAGAGAGGUGCUACUCGUUAUUCGCAGGAAGUGAAAUUAUGAGAGGACAACUCCUACAGUAUUUACCUGCCCUUCUUUUGGGCAGCCUUCUCACCACUUUUUUCCACUAUGCUGUCAUCAAUGACUGGAAUCUUCUCAACACACAACCUCAGCAGCACCAUGUAAAGAACAAAAUCACUGGUCCCUCUAAGGAAAUCAAGGAGAAAAGCAAAGGAAUAGAAAUUUGCUCUCAAGACUCUCAAGUCUGGAAAAAUGAAAAUAAAAAAAUCAA